GGCACAGGAGCUUGGGAUCUGUCUCCUCUUUCGCCUCCUGCACCUUGAGAGCCCUGGGCUACUCUGUCACAGCCCCUGUUGCCCUGCGAUCUGUAGGUCCUUGGGGACGCAUAGUUAAGGUGCCAGGACAUCCUGGAAGCUGGGAAAUGACCAUGGCUGGAGAAGGAAAGAAGGUGUGUUUUGCCUGAUUCAGGGACUAUAGAGAGAACCAAGUUCUGCAGGCCUGUCAUCUAAGUCUCAGGGCGGGGAGACCUUCCUUCCCCACGGGUUUGAGGCUAUGGCUAAGUGGUGAGCCUUGGUGAGACGCAGAAAGGAUCCAUCCCAGGCACUUGGCUAGAGGUAAGUAAAAAUAGCCUUUGGGCCAGAAGACCUGAUAGUUUGGGUACUCGUCUGGACAUAAGUCCCCAUCUUCCCAGAAAUGUCGUCUUUUGUCUGCAACAACUGGCUGGAGAAAUAUUUCAGAAAGAUGUGUGCCUGGAACACCCAAAGGCAUACCUUUCCUUUCUCCUUGGCAUAGGCCUUGCAGCACUGAAGAAAGACCAGGUUUGCAACGGAGCCUUCAAUACUCUUCAUCCCUAUGGAUCUCAGGGGCUCAUAGGGUGACAGGAGAGGAGACAAGCUAGCUUGGGAAGAGUCUUUGUCCUUCAGCUUCUCCUCUACUGAAACACUAUAUACUUGGGG
Long non-coding RNA from Homo sapiens (human), 681 nucleotides. The record is from Ensembl. NCBI's taxonomy places the organism in Eukaryota, Metazoa, Chordata, Mammalia, Primates, Hominidae.